GGAUGGGAAAGGGCCAGCGCGGGCUCGCCGCUGCAUCCUGCCCCGAGAUCAGCGCACCCGCGCCGGCGGAGGAAGCGCCCGGGCGGCUGAGCCCAGCUCGGUGCCCGCACCGGCCUCCAGCGCGGGGGGGCUGUUUGCAGUCGCCACGGAGCAGGUGCUGGGGAGCCUGCCAGCCUCAGGCCCGGCAAUUGAAUAUUUGCCUCUGUGGAUGAGAGCACAUACCGACGCGAGUGGCUGCGCUGAGAUCUGGGGUGUGAGAACUGAGCAUGCCAUGAGCUACCUGCGCAGGGAGAGUGGCUUGGAAGAGGAUGGGUAACAACAAAGUGACAUGAGCUGCCCGAGGAAAGAUCAAUGAAAACUGGCACUGUUAGCUUUGGCUGGAAGAGGAUGUUGGUCCUUUUCACAUGUUGCACGUGACAUGGGGAAGAAAUCAGUGCACUGGCAACUAAGCACAAAUCCUUUUGUUUGCUGCUAUGAGGCACCAGCACGGCUGGGCAAUAGGGGAGAGGUGGAAGAAUCUGCUGGGGUCUGGCAUGUCAAUGAGCAUACAAAGCACCCCAUUUUGCUUGAGAACAUCUAUAUCUGGCACUGUCACUAUAAGUAGCCAGUCAAGAGAUACACUGCAAUAUAAA
Molecule: long non-coding RNA, 632 nt
Organism: Caretta caretta (loggerhead turtle)
Lineage: Eukaryota; Metazoa; Chordata; Testudines; Cheloniidae
Source: RefSeq, a predicted model, not a curated record